CAGCCGCCGCGGUAAUGCGAAGGGUGCAAGCGUUACUCGGAAUUACUGGGCGUAAAGCGUGCGUAGGUGGUGGUUUAAGUCCGUUGUGAAAGCCCUGGGCUCAACCUGGGAAUUGCAGUGGAUACUGGGUCACUAGAGUGUGGUAGAGGAUAGUGGAAUUUCCGGUGUAGCAGUGAAAUGCGUAGAGAUCGGAAGGAACAUCUGUGGCGAAGGCGACUAUCUGGGCCAACACUGACACUGAGGCACGAAAGCGUGGGGAGCAAACAGGAUUAGAUACCCCAGUAGUCCCUGUCUCUUAUAC
This 301-nucleotide ribosomal RNA is filed under the name uncultured bacterium. Its description in RNAcentral is "partial 16S ribosomal RNA". It matches the Rfam family "Bacterial small subunit ribosomal RNA", at positions 509 to 807 of the family's 1533-position model. The record is from RNAcentral.